This 2732-nucleotide long non-coding RNA is filed under the name Olea europaea subsp. europaea. The record is from RNAcentral. Lineage: Eukaryota; Viridiplantae; Streptophyta; Magnoliopsida; Lamiales; Oleaceae.
AAAAAAGAGAGAGAGAGAGAGAAUAGAGGCAGAGAGAAGAAAAGAGAAGGGAGGAAAUAGAGAAAAGGAAGAGGAAAAGAAGAAGAAGAAGUGGAUUUUCAAGAUUGGGUGCUUUAUUUUUUCAAUUUCUCAUUUGAUUUAAAGAGGUAAGGAUAAGUAUAUUGAAUUAAAUUUUUUAGGGUUUAUGUGAAUUUUGUUUCAAUUCAAAGCUUAGCUAGAAUUAGGUAUUAUUGAUAUGUAUUUGAGGUUAUAAUUAAGAAUAUAGCUAAGAAAUAUGUAUAUUUGAAUAUUGAAGUUGAAGAAAGUGAAACUUUGAAAAUGAGUUUAUGAAAUAAAGACAUGUUCUUUGACAUUCUUGUGAUUAUAUGAUGUUAAAUACUUAAAAUUAAGGACUUGGGAUUUGAUUUCUCCAUUUUUUUUUUAAAAAAAAAAAAAAAAGCAAUUUUCAAUCUAUUGGAAGACAGGUGCUAUUUUCGAAAUUAUGCAAGAGAAGUGCUAUUUCUGUCAAUGGUCGGUGAUAAAUUUCAAAAUACACAAAACAGAUGCCAUAUUUCAAUAAUCUGAAAUUUUAGUGUUAUUUUGGUUAAAUAUUUGUUUUUCUCAAAUGUUACAAAUUUGAAACCUAGGUAAUGGAUUAAGUUAUGUGUAGGAGUUGUUGUAUAUGUACAAGUUAGUGAUUUUAACAAAGAAUAGUAAUUAAAUUGAUUUGAUUAUGUGUGAUAAUUGGUUGGUAAAUAAUCAAAGAGCAGAAAAGCGGGUGAAAUGGAUAUGCAAGAGUAAAUAUAAAAGUUGAGGAGUUAAGUAGAAGAUUUGUAUUAAUUUAAUUGUCAAGAUUUUAAUUUGAGUAAUUAUAUCUUUAUUUCAAGUAGUGGCUUAAAAGCUUAGAAAAACUUAUUGACCUUCAUAGCCUGUAGCUUGUCUUGAGUGACUGGUUAUCUACUUUUCGAAAAUAAGCAUUUAUUUAAAUUAUAUUAGUUCUCAAGCUUAGACGAAGAAAAUUGUUCUUUAGAUUUCUUCUAGUAAAUCAUAUAAACUGCAAAAGUUAGUAAUUUCAGAUGAUUGAUUUAGAAAAUGUUAUUUUCAUAAUAAAGUUAUUUUUUUAAUAAGUAAUUCUUCUAAAAGUUAAAUUCAAUUCAGUUAAACCAUUUCAUUGGCUCAUUAUUUCAAUUUUAAAUAUUUCAGCAUAUUUAAAGUUAUUUUUAAAACCAUCAGAAAUGACUCAGGUGAUUUUACCCUAGUUUGCACUUGUGUAAAUGUGUUUCCACAGUGUAUGACCCCAUAUGAUUAUUUUACCUGCUUUGCAUCGAUGAGAAUACGUUUUCACAAUGUAUGACUAGUUAUGAUAAUUUUACCCAAUGUAUACUAUUAUGAAUGUGUUUCUAUAGUGUAUGACCAUAUUAUAGUCAUCGGGCAGCUCUGUGCACAUAUGACCAGAAUUUCAGAAUUAAAUAACUUUUCCAUAUGUAUCGGUACUAACCGAUACAUGAGUAAGGUUAUUCCGAGUACUUUUUUGUACGAUUUUUUAGUAUUAUAUAGUUUGUCAGAUUUUAGACUAUCGAAUUUUGUUUAUUCAGUUUACAGAGUAAUGAUUUUAGCUUAUAAUAUUGUAAAUGAUAUUUUCACUCAUAUCAACUAUUCUAAAAGGUGACCAUGCGCUAUCAAUGCGCGAUGCAUGAUGGAAAUGCUAAGCCAAGUGGUUGGCACCUUAUUCAGCAGUCAACAAACCGCUAAUGCGUGCCUAAGCGUGAAUAUGCACACCUAGAAACACAUAAUUAUCAUUUUUUAACUUUUUUUAAUUUUUUUUAACAAUUCUUCGAAAUUAAAACUUGAAUGUUGAUUUUUUCACUUUAUCAGUUCCAAAUUCAAAAUAGUCGCUUAAAGCCUUGAACAAAGAAAAUUUUCCAAAAUUUUCUAUUUAUUUACUAUUUAAUAUUUAUAUUUGGAACUUAUCAUUUUGUUGAAAACUUUGAAAAAAAUGUAUAAAUUUUCUAUAAAUUUGUUUUAAAUGUUUGGCAAGUAUUAUUCUUAAUUAUUAAACGAUUUUUCGAUUGAUUAAAAAUUAAAAUAAGAAAACACAUUUUAUGCUUUUUACACCUAUGCCUCGCGUAAGCUCGCUUAGCCUAUAGCUUAGUCUCCACGCAUCGUCAAGUAUUACGCCUUUUAGAAUACUACUCAUAUCUACUGAUAUCAGAUUAUUUAUAUCCAUUAUACCUUAUAGUUACUUAUCUAGAAUAAAGAAUAAUGGAUUUUACAAUACAAUCAUGUUUUAGUUUUAAUAAGUAUUAUCAGAUUUCAGAAUUUUUCAAAGUUUAAUAGAGUAAGAAUUUUUAGAAAAUAUGCAUAAACUGAAAAAUAUACUUAUGUGCAAACUAUUUACUCAUUGAGCUACAAACUCAUACUUUGUUACCCUUUUUCUUAUCAGAUAGUCGUUGAGUUGAGCAUCAUUGGAACCUGUCAAUCUAUCGAGUUGAGCCACACACAUUGUCAUUAGUUGUAUGACUCAUUUUGACAGUCUACAUAGUUCAUAUUUCUUUUGGAAUACAUGUAUGUUUUGUUGGAAAAGUUAAUUAGCAAAUCAUGUAUACAUAUCAUGGGCUCAUUGUACAUUUGGUAUCCUUAGUGCUUUAGGGGACUUUUGUUUGUAAAGUAUAGUAAAUAUCGAUUUGCCAGCAUUUUAUUUUCAAUAUUUGUAUUUUGAGGGAAUAGUGUGCCUUAUUUAAAAUUGUAUGAAC